This 352-nucleotide long non-coding RNA is filed under the name Brassica rapa (field mustard). Its description in RNAcentral is "long non-coding RNA (BRAP_LNC003014)". The record is from RNAcentral. Lineage: Eukaryota; Viridiplantae; Streptophyta; Magnoliopsida; Brassicales; Brassicaceae.
UGUACGAAGUAUGAAGCGAGAAGCACAGAAGAUGGGCCUUAAUAUCGAAUCAAGCCCAAUCCGAGAAGGCCCGAGUCAAGGCGCGCCAAAUACAGACAGAGUCAAACGUUCGAAACAGAGUUGCAAGAGUACGGUCUUGAAGCAGACAGAGCCAGCUGGUGAAGUGGUCCUGCACAACUCCUUUAUGCCGUUGUGCGUGUGAAUCAAACGGUUGGAAUGAAGCCACUUGUGAGGAGAUUACCAUAGGGUCUCUAGGGCUUUCAUAAAACCCUAAUAGUAUUUAAAGUUGUAAAGGUUCAACCUUUGUAAGUAAGUUUUGAGGAAAUAAGAGAAAGUUAUUUCAGAUCUUCAA